This 70-nucleotide transfer RNA is filed under the name Pseudomyrmex dendroicus. RNAcentral describes it as "tRNA-Glu". The record is from RNAcentral. Lineage: Eukaryota; Metazoa; Arthropoda; Insecta; Hymenoptera; Formicidae.
ACUUAUAUAGUUUAAAAAACCAUUAUAUUUUCAAUAUAAAAUUAUUAAUUUUUCAAUUUAAUUAUAAGUA